Molecule: unclassified non-coding RNA, 225 nt
Filed under: Hevea brasiliensis (rubber tree)
Lineage: Eukaryota; Viridiplantae; Streptophyta; Magnoliopsida; Malpighiales; Euphorbiaceae
Source: RNAcentral
AUUGCACUGCAAAAGAAAGUUAUGGGUUGUAAAGAAAACAAAAAUUAAGAGAAACAAAACAAAGGUCUUGCUUUCCUGCAUUUUAUCCCCACUUCCUGAACAUCCUUUCACUCUUUGCUGCAUUAAUUCUCUGUAACUAAACAUGAUUAGAACAGAGAGAGUAGCUUAGCAGACUCAAACAACAGAGUAUAUCCAGAUCCCAUAAGGGAACAAAAAAAAAAAAAA